AUUGAACGCUGGCGGCAUGCUUUACACAUGCAAGUCGAACGGUAACAGGCCUUCGGGUGCUGACGAGUGGCGAACGGGUGAGUAAUGCAUCGGAACGUACCCAGAGGUGGGGGAUAACGCAGCGAAAGCUGUGCUAAUACCGCAUGUGAUCUGAGGAUGAAAGCGGGGGACCGAGCAGCAAUGUUUGGCCUCGCGCCUUUGGAGCGGCCGAUGUCGGAUUAGCUAGUUGUGGGGUAAAGGCCUACCAAGGCGACGAUCCGUAGCUGGUCUGAGAGGACGACCAGCCACACUGGGACUGAGACACGGCCCAGACUCCUACGGGAGGCAGCAGUGGGGAAUUUUGGACAAUGGGCGCAAGCCUGAUCCAGCAAUGCCGCGUGCGGGAAGAAGGCCUUCGGGUUGUAAACCGCUUUUGGCAGGAACGAAACGGUGUCCGCUAAUACCGGGCGCUAAUGACGGUACCUGCAGAAUAAGCACCGGCUAACUACGUG
RNAcentral lists this ribosomal RNA (491 nucleotides) under uncultured bacterium. Its description in RNAcentral is "partial 16S ribosomal RNA". It matches the Rfam family "Bacterial small subunit ribosomal RNA", at positions 29 to 507 of the family's 1533-position model. The record is from RNAcentral.